UACGGAGGGUGCUAGCGUUGUUCGGAAUCACUGGGCGUAAAGGGCGUGUAGGCGGUCCGCUAAGUCUGAUGUGAAAUCCCCUCGCUCAACGAGGGAACUGCGUCGGAUACUGGCAGACUCGAGUACCGGAGAGGAAGGUGGAAUUCCCGGUGUAGCGGUGAAAUGCGUAGAUAUCGGGAGGAACAUCGGUGGCGAAGGCGGCCUUCUGGACGGAUACUGACGCUGAGACGCGAAAGCGUGGGGAGCAAACAGG
Molecule: ribosomal RNA, 253 nt
Filed under: uncultured bacterium
Lineage: Bacteria
Description: partial 16S ribosomal RNA
Rfam family: Bacterial small subunit ribosomal RNA
Source: RNAcentral